CCCUUAGAUGUUCUGGGCUGCACGCGCGCUACACUGAAGCUAUCAACACGUUUUCCCUCCCUGAGAAGGGCGGGUAACCUUUUGAAUCAGCUUCGUGGUAGGGAUCGGGGCUUGCAAUUGUUCCCCGUGAACCAGGAAUUCCUAGUAGACGCGAGUCAUAAGCUCGCAUCGAUUAAGUCCCUGCCCUUUGUACACACCGCCCGUCGCUACUCCCGAUUGAACGUUUUAGUGAGGCAUUUGGACCGACGCAUCUCAGUUUAACCGCUGGUUUGUGUUGGAAAGACUUCCAAACUUGAGCGUUUAGAGGAAGUAAAAGUCGUAACA
RNAcentral lists this ribosomal RNA (324 nucleotides) under uncultured eukaryote. RNAcentral's name for it is "partial 18S ribosomal RNA". It matches the Rfam family "Eukaryotic small subunit ribosomal RNA", at positions 1470 to 1796 of the family's 1831-position model. The record is from RNAcentral.